This 492-nucleotide ribosomal RNA is filed under the name uncultured bacterium. RNAcentral's name for it is "partial 16S ribosomal RNA". It matches the Rfam family "Bacterial small subunit ribosomal RNA", at positions 29 to 507 of the family's 1533-position model. The record is from RNAcentral.
AGUGAACGCUGGCGGUAGGCCUAACACAUGCAAGUCGAACGGCAGCACAGUAAGAGCUUGCUCUUACGGGUUGCGAGUGGCGGACGAGUGAGGAAUACAUCGUACUCUACUUUUUCGUGGGGGAUCACGUAGGUAAACUUACUCUAAUACCGCAUACGACCUACGGGUGAAAGCAGGGGAUCUUCGGACCUUGCGCGAUUGAAUGAGCCGAUGUCGGAUUAGCUAGUUGGCGGGUUAAUGGCCCACCAAGGCGACGAUCCGUAGCUGGUCUGAGAGGAUGAUAGGCGACACUGGAACGGGGACACGGUCAAGACUCCUAAGGGAGGCAGCAGUGGGGAAUAUUGGACAAUGGGCGCAAGCAUGAUCCAGCCAUACCGCGUGGGUGAAGAAGGCCUUCGGGUUGGAAAGACCGUUUGUUGGGAAAGAAAAGCAGCAGGUUAAGACCACGCUGGUCUGACGGUAACCAAAGAAUAAGCACCGGCUAACUUCGUG